This 709-nucleotide long non-coding RNA is filed under the name Sus scrofa (pig). RNAcentral's name for it is "lncRNA (ENSSSCG00070004944.1)". Lineage: Eukaryota; Metazoa; Chordata; Mammalia; Artiodactyla; Suidae. The record is from RNAcentral.
AUGGAAGUGCUGGCCCUGUCCUGGCUCCUGGAAGCUGCUCAGCCCAGCCCGCACCUCCUCCGGGCAGGACUCCACAGCCUCCUCUGGGCUCGCCGAAAACCCUGUCCUUGCCUCAACAGUGAGCUCCUCAUGGCAGAAGGUAAGGGAGGGUUUAAAUCCAUGGUCAGGGGUUUUCUCCAAGAGCAGGAGCCAUGCUCCUCCCCUGGGCCCUCAGCCUGGGGCCCCAGAGCAGGUGGACACUCCGACUGCUUUACUGUCCUCUCUGCACCUCAUCUCCACACAUGCGGGCGUAGAGAGGGAGUGGGGGGACAUCCACACCAUGUGACAUUUGUGUGGCCCUUGCUAUACACGAGUCCUUCUAGCGUGGGUCUCAGCUUGACAACAACCUCCCAAGGCAGGUACUCUGAGUUCCUUCUUCAGACAAAUUCGCCCCCUCCCAGGUGGACACCAGGGGACCUGCUUCCCAUUGUCCUUGCCUCUUCGAUGGCCACCCUUCGGGCUGCCAAGCCUUCCCAUCUCUGGCACAGUCUUGGCUCUUUUACCCUUUCCCCCCAUUUCUGUCAUGUCCCAGAUCUGGGGCGCGGGGCGGGGGGUUGACCAACAGGCCUGACGAUGAGACAGUGAAGUCUGACCCCUUCCCCGAGUGCAGGCCUUCGUGCAUCCUGAACUCAUCCUGAGGCUUAGGGAGCCCCCUCUCCGCUGAGCAGGC